This 275-nucleotide ribosomal RNA is filed under the name uncultured prokaryote. RNAcentral describes it as "partial 16S ribosomal RNA". It matches the Rfam family "Bacterial small subunit ribosomal RNA", at positions 524 to 798 of the family's 1533-position model. The record is from RNAcentral.
CACGGGGGUUGUGAGCGUUGUCCGGAAUUACUAGGCGUAAAGGGCAGGCAGGCGGAUCCAUAAGUUUAUCGUUUAAGGCGUCGGCUUAACCGGCGUAGGGCGGUAGAUACUGUGGAUCUGGAAUGCGGUUGGGGAAGACAGAAUUCCUGGUGUAGCGGUGGAAUGCACAGAGAUCAGGAGGAAUACCGAAGGCGAAGGCAGUCUUCCAAGCCGUUAUUGACGCUCAACUGCGAAGGUGUGGGUAUCAAACAGGAUUAGAUACCCAUGUAGUCCCU